This 72-nucleotide transfer RNA is filed under the name Candidatus Pacearchaeota archaeon. Its description in RNAcentral is "tRNA-Gly". It matches the Rfam family "tRNA". Rfam says of the family: Transfer RNA (tRNA) molecules are approximately 80 nucleotides in length. Their secondary structure includes four short double-helical elements and three loops (D, anti-codon, and T loops). Further hydrogen bonds mediate the characteristic L-shaped molecular structure. tRNAs have two regions of fundamental functional importance: the anti-codon, which is responsible for specific mRNA codon recognition, and the 3' end, to which the tRNAs corresponding amino acid is attached (by aminoacyl-tRNA synthetases). tRNAs cope with the degeneracy of the genetic code in two manners: having more than one tRNA (with a specific anti-codon) for a particular amino acid; and 'wobble' base-pairing, i.e. permitting non-standard base-pairing at the 3rd anti-codon position. Lineage: Archaea; Nanobdellati. The record is from RNAcentral.
GCGGCUUUAGUAUAUCGGUUAGUAUGUGACCUUCCCAAGGUCGAGAGCGGGGUUCGAUUCCCCGAAGCCGCA